CAGCAGCCGCGGGAAUACGUAGGGUGCGAGCGUUAAUCGGAAUUACUGGGCGUAAAGCGUGCGCAGGCGGUUCGUUAAGACAGAUGUGAAAUCCCCGGGCUUAACCUGGGAACUGCAUUUGUGACUGGCGAGCUAGAGUAUGGCAGAGGGGGGUAGAAUUCCACGUGUAGCAGUGAAAUGCGUAGAGAUGUGGAGGAAUACCGAUGGCGAAGGCAGCCCCCUGGGCCAAUACUGACGCUCAUGCACGAAAGCGUGGGGAGCAAACAGGAUUAGAUACCCCAGUAGUCCCUGUCUCUUAUAC
Molecule: ribosomal RNA, 301 nt
Filed under: uncultured bacterium
Lineage: Bacteria
Description: partial 16S ribosomal RNA
Rfam family: Bacterial small subunit ribosomal RNA
Source: RNAcentral